CUGACAUGCGUGCGAGUUGACGGGUUCUGAAACCUGGGAUGCGCAAGGAAGCUGAUGAGCGGGAGGCCCUCACGGGCCGCACCGCUGGCCGACCCUGAUCUUCUGUGAAGGGUUCGAGUUGGAGCACGCCUGUCGGGACCCGAAAGAUGGUGAACUAUGCCUGAGCGGGGCGAAGCCAGAGGAAACUCUGGUGGAGGCUCGAAGCGAUACUGACGUGCAAAUCGUUCGUCUGACUUGGGUAUAGGGGCGAAAGACUAAUCGAACCAUCUAGUAGCUGG
RNAcentral lists this ribosomal RNA (278 nucleotides) under Triticum aestivum (bread wheat). Its description in RNAcentral is "rRNA LSU_rRNA_eukarya". It matches the Rfam family "Eukaryotic large subunit ribosomal RNA", at positions 675 to 954 of the family's 3401-position model. The record is from Rfam by way of RNAcentral. Lineage: Eukaryota; Viridiplantae; Streptophyta; Magnoliopsida; Poales; Poaceae.